GAAAAUUUAGUUAAAAUAUAACAUUAAUUUGUCAAAUUAAAAUAAUUUUUUUU
RNAcentral lists this transfer RNA (53 nucleotides) under Altica cirsicola. Its description in RNAcentral is "tRNA-Asp". The record is from RNAcentral. Lineage: Eukaryota; Metazoa; Arthropoda; Insecta; Coleoptera; Chrysomelidae.